GAUGAAUGCUGGCGGCGUGCCUAACACAUGCAAGUCGAGCGGCAGCGCGGUCUUCGGACUGGCGGCGAGCGGCGGACGGCUGAGUAACGCGUGGGAACGUACCCCAAAGUGAGGAAUAACUGCCCGAAAGGGUAGCUAAUGCCGCAUAUGGUCUUCGGAUUAAAGGAUUUAUCCGCUUUGGGAACGGCCUGCGUACGAUUAGAUUGUUGGUGAGGUAAUGGCUCACCAAGUCGACGAUCGUUAACUGGUCUGAGAGGAUGAUCAGUCAGACUGGAACUGAGACACGGUCCAGACUCCUACGGGAGGCAGCAGUGAGGAAUCUUCCACAAUGGGCGAAAGCCUGAUGGAGCAACGCCGCGUGCAGGAUGAAGGCCUUCGGGUCGUAAACUGCUUUUAUAAGUGAAGAAUAUGACGGUAACUUAUGAAUAAGCACCGGCUAACUACGUGCCAGCCGCCGCAGUA
This 462-nucleotide ribosomal RNA is filed under the name uncultured bacterium. RNAcentral describes it as "partial 16S ribosomal RNA". It matches the Rfam family "Bacterial small subunit ribosomal RNA", at positions 28 to 522 of the family's 1533-position model. The record is from RNAcentral.